RNAcentral lists this ribosomal RNA (1188 nucleotides) under uncultured Sulfurimonas sp. RNAcentral's name for it is "bacterial SSU rRNA". It matches the Rfam family "Bacterial small subunit ribosomal RNA", at positions 226 to 1425 of the family's 1533-position model. Lineage: Bacteria; Pseudomonadati; Campylobacterota; Epsilonproteobacteria; Campylobacterales; Sulfurimonadaceae. The record is from RNAcentral.
UCGGUCUAUAUCCUAUCAGUUAGUUGGUGAGGUAAUGGCUCACCAAGGCAAUGACAGGUAGCGGGUUUGAGAGGAUGAUCCGCCACACUGGUACUGAGACACGGACCAGACUCCUACGGGAGGCAGCAGUGAGGAAUAUUGCACAAUGGGGGAAACCCUGAUGCAGCAACGCCGCGUGGAGGAUGACGCAUUUCGGUGUGUAAACUCCUUUUAUAUGUCAAGAAAAUGACGGUAGCAUAUGAAUAAGCACCGGCUAACUCCGUGCCAGCAGCCGCGGUAAUACGGAGGGUGCAAGCGUUAUUCGGAAUCACUGGGCGUAAAGGACGCGUAGGCGGGCUUGNUAAGUCAGGUGUGAAAUCCUACAGCUUAACUGUAGAACUGCACUUGAAACUACUGGCCUAGAGUAUGGGAGGGGGAGAUGGAAUUAGUGGUGUAGGGGUAAAAUCCGUAGAUAUCACUAGGAAUACCUAAAGCGAAGGCGAUCUCCUGGAACAUAACUGACGCUAAGGCGUGAAAGCGUGGGGAGCAAACAGGAUUAGAUACCCUGGUAGUCCACGCCCUAAACGAUGAACACUAGUCGUCGGGGCANNCUAGUUGCNUNUCGGUGAUGCACUUAACAGAUUAAGUGNUCCGCCUGGGGAGUACGGUCGCAAGAUUAAAACUCAAAGGAAUAGACGGGGACCCGCACAAGUGGUGGAGCAUGUGGUUUAAUUCGAAGAUACGCGAAGAACCUUACCUAGCCUUGACAUUGAUAGAACACCCUAGAGAUAGAGUGGUGCCCUUCGGGGAACUUGAAAACAGGUGCUGCACGGCUGUCGUCAGCUCGUGUCGUGAGAUGUUGGGUUAAGUCCCGCAACGAGCGCAACCCUCGUCCUUAGUUGCCAGCGGUUCGGCUGGGCACUUUAAGGAGACUGCCUUCGCAAGAAGGAGGAAGGUGAGGACGACGUCAAGUCAUCAUGGCCCUUAUGGCUAGGGCUACACACGUGCUACAAUGGGGCGUACAGAGAGUUGCGAUACCGCGAGGUGGAGCCAAUCUCAUAAAGCGUCUCUCAGUUCGGAUUGAAGUCUGCAACUCGACUUCAUGAAGCUGGAAUCACUAGUAAUCGUAGAUCAGCGAUGCUACGGUGAAUACGUUCCCGGGUCUUGUACUCACCGCCCGUCACACCAUGGGAGUUGAUUUCACCCGAA